GGAAGUAAAGGUCGUAACAAGGUUUCCGUAGGUGAACCUGCGGAAGGAUCAUUCAUAAUAAGUGUUUUAUGGCACUUUUUUAAAUCCAUAUCCACCUUGUGUGCAAUGUCAGGGUUGAUUUUUCUCUCGAGAGGAUCAACCCCAAACAUCAACUAUAUCUCAACUCUUUGUCUGAAAAAUAUUAUGAAUAAAACAAUUCAAAAUACAACUUUCAACAACGGAUCUCUUGGCUCUC
Molecule: unclassified non-coding RNA, 235 nt
Filed under: plant metagenome
Description: partial contains small subunit ribosomal RNA, internal transcribed spacer 1, and 5.8S ribosomal RNA
Rfam family: Eukaryotic small subunit ribosomal RNA (bases 1-54)
Source: RNAcentral